CAGCAGCCACGGUAAUACGUAGGGUGCAAGCGUUAAUCGGAAUUACUGGGCGUAAAGCGUGCGCAGGCGGUUAUAUAAGACAGAUGUGAAAUCCCCGGGCUCAACCUGGGAACUGCAUUUGUGACUGUAUAGCUAGAGUACGGCAGAGGGGGGUGGAAUUCCGCGUGUAGCAGUGAAAUGCGUAGAUAUGCGGAGGAACACCGAUGGCGAAGGCAAUCCCCUGGGCCUGUACUGACGCUCAUGCACGAAAGCGUGGGGAGCAAACAGGAUUAGAUACCCCAGUAGUCCCUGUCUCUUAUAA
This 301-nucleotide ribosomal RNA is filed under the name uncultured bacterium. RNAcentral describes it as "partial 16S ribosomal RNA". It matches the Rfam family "Bacterial small subunit ribosomal RNA", at positions 509 to 809 of the family's 1533-position model. The record is from RNAcentral.